CCUACGGGAGGCAGCAGUGAGGAAUAUUGGACAAUAGGCGCAAGCCUGAUCCAGCCAUGCCGCGUGCAGGAAGAAGCAUCUAUGGUGUGUAAACUGCUUUUGUACAGGAAGAAACACUCCCUCGUGAGGGAGCUUGACGGUACUGUAAGAAUAAGGACCGGCUAACUCCGUGCCAGCAGCCGCGGUAAUACGGAGGGUCCGAGCGUUAUCCGGAAUCAUUGGGUUUAAAGGGUCCGUAGGCGGUUUAAUAAGUCAGUGGUGAAAUCUGGUCGCUCAACGAUCAAACGGCCAUUGAUACUGUUAGACUUGAAUUAUAAGGAAGUAACUAGAAUAUGUAGUGUAGCGGUGAAAUGCUUAGAUAUUACAUGGAAUACCAAUUGCGAAGGCAGGUUACUACUUAUGGAUUGACGCUGAUGGACGAAAGCGUGGGGAGCGACGAGAGUAGUAUACCUACGUAGUACGACGACCGUAACCGAACGUAGUAGUACUACGUACGUCGUUCGGUACGGACGAACUACUGUAGUAGGUCGUAACGUACGGAAAGGUAAGUAGUAAAGUAAGUUACCGUACCCGUACCGGGUAGGGUACGGUUAACGGUCGUAACGAAAGUUAAGUAAACGUUAACGUUAAAGGAAAGUUAAGGUUACGGACGUGAGGACGUUAGCCGACGGACGACGACGACGGGAGGGAGGAGG
RNAcentral lists this ribosomal RNA (695 nucleotides) under uncultured bacterium. RNAcentral describes it as "bacterial SSU rRNA". The stretch from base 1 to 521 matches the Rfam family "Bacterial small subunit ribosomal RNA", at positions 338 to 1533 of the family's 1533-position model. The record is from RNAcentral.